GACGAACGCUGGCGGCGUGCCUAAUACAUGCAAGUAGGACGCAGUUGCGAACGGGUGAGUAACGCGUAGGUAACUACCUAGUAGAGGGGGAUAACUAUUGGAAACGCUAGCUAAUACCGCAUACUAGUAGAUGGACCUGCGUUGUAUUAACGAGUAGGUCGGGUAAUGGCCUACCUAGGGAACGAUACAUAGCAGACCUGGGAGGGUGAUAGGCAACACUGGGACUGGGACACGGCCCAGACUCCUACGGGAGGCAGCAGUAGGGAAUCUUCGGCAAUGGGGGGAACCCUGACCGAGCAACGCCGCGUGAGUGAAGAAGGUUUGCGGAUCGGAAAGCUCUGUUGUUAAGGAAGCGGUACUUAACCAGAAAGGGACGGCUAACUACGUGCCAGCGGCCGCGGUAAUUC
This 407-nucleotide ribosomal RNA is filed under the name uncultured bacterium. RNAcentral describes it as "partial 16S ribosomal RNA". It matches the Rfam family "Bacterial small subunit ribosomal RNA", at positions 28 to 526 of the family's 1533-position model. The record is from RNAcentral.